GAAGGUGCAACAAAACAUUAUCACAUUUGGAGACAAAUUAGUAAACAUAAAAAUAAAUAGCAUGUGAAAUGCAAGGUGGUGCACUUGGAGUGAAUUGCAGAAAACCACCACAUUGACGCACAUGUUUGCAGAAAACAUGGUUUUACGAAUUUCUGCCAAAAACCAUUGAUUCUCGGCCUAAUUUUUUUGCAAAAAACACUAACAUGUCGCUUUGGGCAUUUUAACCUCAAUUAUGACAUGUGGGGCCCGCAUUUGGUGACUUGGCACAACAGUUCGCGUUAGAUGGCGUUUGGUCUAAUAUUACAAACUAGUCCCUGAAAUUUCACAUAGACACCCCUCAAUCAUAAAGCAAAAGCGCA
RNAcentral lists this long non-coding RNA (359 nucleotides) under Triticum aestivum (bread wheat). RNAcentral's name for it is "long non-coding RNA (TAES_LNC001234)". The record is from RNAcentral. Lineage: Eukaryota; Viridiplantae; Streptophyta; Magnoliopsida; Poales; Poaceae.